This 463-nucleotide ribosomal RNA is filed under the name uncultured Anoxybacillus sp. RNAcentral describes it as "bacterial SSU rRNA". It matches the Rfam family "Bacterial small subunit ribosomal RNA", at positions 920 to 1382 of the family's 1533-position model. Lineage: Bacteria; Bacillati; Bacillota; Bacilli; Caryophanales; Anoxybacillaceae. The record is from RNAcentral.
CCCGCACAAGCGGUGGAGCAUGUGGUUAAUUCGAAGCAACGCGAAGAACCUUACCAGGUCUUGACAUCCCUGACAACCCGAGAGAUCGGGCGUUCCCCCUUCGGGGGGACAGGGUGACAGGUGGUGCAUGGUUGUCGUCAGCUCGUGUCGUGAGAUGUUGGGUUAAGUCCCGCAACGAGCGCAACCCUCGACCUUAGUUGCCAGCAUUCAGUUGGGCACUCUAAGGUGACUGCCGGCUAAAAGUCGGAGGAAGGUGGGGAUGACGUCAAGUCAGCAUGGCCUUUAUGUCCAGGGCUACACACGUGCUACAAUGGUUGGUACAAAGGGUUGCCAAGCCGUGAGGCGGAGCCAAUCUCAAAAAGCCAACCUCAGUUCGGAUUGCAGUCUGCAACUCGACUGCAUGAAGUUGGAAUCGCUAGUAAUCGCUGAUCAGCAGGCAGCGGUGAAUACGUUCCCGGGCCUU